RNAcentral lists this transfer RNA (78 nucleotides) under Candidatus Omnitrophota bacterium. RNAcentral describes it as "tRNA-Pro". It matches the Rfam family "tRNA". Rfam says of the family: Transfer RNA (tRNA) molecules are approximately 80 nucleotides in length. Their secondary structure includes four short double-helical elements and three loops (D, anti-codon, and T loops). Further hydrogen bonds mediate the characteristic L-shaped molecular structure. tRNAs have two regions of fundamental functional importance: the anti-codon, which is responsible for specific mRNA codon recognition, and the 3' end, to which the tRNAs corresponding amino acid is attached (by aminoacyl-tRNA synthetases). tRNAs cope with the degeneracy of the genetic code in two manners: having more than one tRNA (with a specific anti-codon) for a particular amino acid; and 'wobble' base-pairing, i.e. permitting non-standard base-pairing at the 3rd anti-codon position. Lineage: Bacteria; Pseudomonadati; Candidatus Omnitrophota. The record is from RNAcentral.
CGGGGCGUAGCGCAGCUUGGCUAGCGCACUUGAAUGGGGUUCAAGAGGUCGCUGGUUCGAAUCCAGUCGCCCCGACCA